This 1080-nucleotide long non-coding RNA is filed under the name Nicotiana benthamiana. RNAcentral describes it as "long non-coding RNA (NBEN_LNC010957)". The record is from RNAcentral. Lineage: Eukaryota; Viridiplantae; Streptophyta; Magnoliopsida; Solanales; Solanaceae.
AUACACUCACUAUUUGAACACUCGCAUGAAGAUACAAGACAUUUGCACACCAGACAAGUGAACGUGAGACACGGAGAGAUUUUUGGACUUAGUAGAGAGAUACUACUGUCUGGCGUCUGCUCAAAAGGAAAAAGAAGAAAGAAAAUCCUGAAGUCCCCCAAGAUUCGUCCAAACGCCCUCUUCUUCAAGUCUCCAAAACAAAAAAAACCUAGCAGCCAUACACGACCAAACAACCCGUCACACUCACUAACCGGACCAUCCUCACGUCCAAGCAACCACCAGCUUUGUUGAACCACCAGUAGCCAUCUCAAACACCCCAUCAACGAACACAACUUCAUCUCCUUCGCCACUGGAAAUCGCUGGAAACCGACGACGGAAUUUUGUUUUGUCAAUAGUGCUCGUUUGAAACUCGUGGAGAGCUCGUUAGAGGCCGCUAGCACUGUUUGUGGGGUCUAUUUUAGUUGUGUGUCGAGCAGUAGCAGUUCGAUGGAGUACGGGGCCUAAAGCUAAAUCGUAAUUUGAGGCCUUUGAAGGCAAAAAUGUUAAUGCUAUUUAUUUAUUAUAGUUCAACCAAAUUCUCCCUAAAAAAUAGUAUAAUGUUUGGAACUAUUCCAUAAUGAUUAUUGACAUAAUAAAUAAUUUAUCACAAGAUUUACUUAUCAUUAUAAAGAAUAAUAGAAGUAAUUAUUUAAAAUACAUUUAUUAUAUAUAUCCAACAUGAAUAAAAUUUGGGGCCCUAUAUUUUUGGCGGCCUAAAGCCGUGACUUUAGUUGCCUUACGUUGAGCCACCUCUGGUGUCGAGGUACUAUCGUUGGUUUUUCGUUCGAGGUCGCCGGUUUGAGGUUUCCGUGGUCUUGGGUUGAUGGUUUUGUUAGUGUUCAAGAUAUAUCCGUACUCUCUUCUUCAAUGUACUCGUCUUGAGUUUCCUCCAUUAAUCUAAAGCAUAAAGGUUAAUUACUUACUCUAAAUGUUCUCUUUGUUUCAUCGUUAUUAAGCUUCAAUGAUUAUGAUUGUCGUGUGAUUACUUUGAUUGUUUCAUUGUCAGUUAAAGUUUGCUUAAGUUGGUUGAUUUAUAUUGAA